Chlorocebus sabaeus (green monkey) is the source of this 104-nucleotide small nuclear RNA. NCBI's taxonomy places the organism in Eukaryota, Metazoa, Chordata, Mammalia, Primates, Cercopithecidae. The record is from Ensembl.
GUGCUUGCUUCAGCGGCACACAUACUACAAUUGGAACAAUACAGAGAUUAGCAUGGCCCCUGCGCAAGGAUAACACGCAAAUUCGUGAAGCAUUCCAUAUAUAU